Molecule: ribosomal RNA, 502 nt
Filed under: uncultured bacterium
Lineage: Bacteria
Description: bacterial SSU rRNA
Rfam family: Bacterial small subunit ribosomal RNA
Source: RNAcentral
UCAGGAUGAACGCUAGCGGCAGGCUUAACACAUGCAAGGUCGAGGGGCAUCGGGAGUAGCAAUACUGCCGGCGACCGGCGCAAGGGUGCGUAACGCGUGAGCAACAUGCCCGUAUCAGGGGGAUAAUCCAUGGAAACGUGGUCUAAUACCCCAUAGUAAUUAUGUAAGGCAUCUUAUAUAAUUUAAAGCUUUGGUGGAUACGGAUUGGCUCGCGUGACAUUAGCUAGAUGGUAAGGUAACGGCUUACCAUGGCUACGAUGUCUAGGGGUUCUGAGAGGAAGGUCCCCCCACACUGGAACUGAGACACGGUCCAGACUCCUACGGGAGGCAGCAGUGAGGAAUAUUGGACAAUGGAUGGAAAUCUGAUCCAGCCAUGCCGCGUGCAGGGAAAGACGGCCCUAUGGGUUGUAAACUGCUUUUGUAUGGGAGCAAUAAGGGCUACGCGUAGUCCGAUGAGAGUACCAUACGAAUAAGCACCAGCUAACUCCGUGCCAGCCGCAGC